AUGCUGCAGUCAGAACCACUACUCCGAGCCUCAAGAAUGUUCCAAGCGUCGUCUGUUAUGAUUGUGGCCAAGGCACCACAGAAGAAAAAGAUGUGCUGGGGAAUCCUGUCAACUUCUUCCCUGGUGUAUGCAGUCUUGGCAGAAACACAAUUGGCCAAGUGGCUCAGGGGUGGUGGCCUUGUGGACUCAGAGAUACAGAUCUUUAUGAAGACCCUGACAGGCAAGACCACCACCCUCGAGGAUGAGCCCAGUGACAUGACUGAGAAUAUCAAAGCCAAAAUCAAAGACAAGGAGGGCAUCCUGCCUAACCAGCAGCAUCUGACUUUGGGGAGCAAAUAGCUGGAGGAUAACCACACUCUCUCAGACUAUAAUAUCCAGAAAGAAUACACCUUGUACUUGGUGCUUCACCUGCAGGGUGGAAUGCAGAUUUUCGUGAAAACCCUUACGGGGAAGACCAUCACCCUCGAGGUUGAACCCUCGGAUACAAUAGAAAAUGUAAAGGCCAAGAUUCAGGAUAAGGAAGGAAUUCCUCCUGAUCAGCAGAGACUGAUCUUUGCUGGCAAGUAACUGGAAGAUGGACGCACUUUGUCUGACUACAACAUUCAAAAGGAGUCUACUCUUCAUCUUGUGUUGAGACUUCGUGGUGGUGCUAAGAAAAGGAAGAAGAAGUCAUAUACCACUCCCAAGAAGAAUAAGCAUAAGAGAAAGAAGGUUAAACUGGCCGUCCUGAAAUACUAUAAGGUGGAUGAGAAUGGCAAAAUCAGUCGC
Molecule: non-coding RNA, 768 nt
Organism: Leptonychotes weddellii (Weddell seal)
Lineage: Eukaryota; Metazoa; Chordata; Mammalia; Carnivora; Phocidae
Source: RefSeq, a predicted model, not a curated record